RNAcentral lists this ribosomal RNA (250 nucleotides) under uncultured bacterium. RNAcentral describes it as "partial 16S ribosomal RNA". It matches the Rfam family "Bacterial small subunit ribosomal RNA", at positions 105 to 353 of the family's 1533-position model. The record is from RNAcentral.
GGUGAGUAACGCGUGGGUAACCUGCCUCAUACAGGGGGAUAACAGUUAGAAAUGACUGCUAAUACCGCAUAAGCGCACAGUGCUGCAUGGCACAGUGUGAAAAACUCCGGUGGUGUGAGAUGGACCCGCGUCUGAUUAGCCAGUUGGCGGGGUAACGGCCCACCAAAGCGACGAUCAGUAGCCGGCCUGAGAGGGUGAACGGCCACAUUGGGACUGAGACACGGCCCAAACUCCUACGGGAGGCAGCAUG